RNAcentral lists this long non-coding RNA (485 nucleotides) under Helianthus annuus (common sunflower). Its description in RNAcentral is "sRNA HanXRQr2_Chr09g0367381". The record is from RNAcentral. Lineage: Eukaryota; Viridiplantae; Streptophyta; Magnoliopsida; Asterales; Asteraceae.
UUGAGUACAAAGCUAAUAUGAUGAGAAAGGAAACCCUAAUUGCAAACUCUGUACAAGUUAGGUUAAUCCACAUGUUCGUUUUCUUUCGUGAAUUAUUGAAAUUCUAGAUUCAUGAUUGUUUCGCUUCAAUUUGAAUAGGGUUUGUUGUCGUUUUGCUUAAAUCAUGUUGUUUUUAUAAUUUUUUGCUUUAGUGUCUAUUGUAAUACAAUGGCCCCAUAGGUACAAAACAAAUGACAACAAAGGAACUUAUUGUUUCUAAUCUAGAUAUUAUUGUUGGAAUGUUUGGUUCCUAUAUAUAAUAUCCUUCCGUGUUCUUUGUAUGUAUGAGCCAAUCCUGGCCCACAUGGGAGAAACACUAUCUUUUAUCAUCGAUUCAUUACCAGAAUACUGAAUACUGAUUGAUCGAGAAGCUAAUGGAAGAAGGAGUAGGAUUGGAGAUGGACUUCACCAACCUUGGUGUUGUCGCUGACUCUAUAGAUGCCUUA